ACAUUUUCAAUUAACGGGUCGUCCCCAUACUUCGUCCGGUAUGAACGUCAAAUUACAAAACUUCGACACUCCGUCCAGUAUGAGGGUGAAAGGGGUCGUCCCCAUAUCCCGUCCGGUAUGAGCACCAAAUUACCCAACCUUGAUACCCCGUUCGGUAUGAGGCAAUGUUCACGGUAGGGUUCCCUAUGUAACCGGUCCGUCCACCAUCUCUCAGGAUAUCCAGUAAGGCUGC
RNAcentral lists this long non-coding RNA (232 nucleotides) under Carica papaya (papaya). RNAcentral describes it as "long non-coding RNA (CPAP_LNC001975)". Lineage: Eukaryota; Viridiplantae; Streptophyta; Magnoliopsida; Brassicales; Caricaceae. The record is from RNAcentral.